AUUAAACGCUGGCGGCAUGCCUUACACAUGCAAGUCGAACGGCAGCACGGGAGCUUGCUCCUGGUGGCGAGUGGCGGACGGGUGAGUAAUACAUCGGAACGUGCCCUGGAGUGGGGGAUAACGCAGCGAAAGCUACGCUAAUACCGCAUAUUCUGUGAGCAGGAAAGCAGGGGAUCGCAAGACCUUGCGCUCUAGGAGCGGCCGAUGUCGGAUUAGCUAGUUGGUGGGGUAAAGGCUCACCAAGGCGACGAUCCGUAGCGGGUCUGAGAGGAUGAUCCGCCACACUGGGACUGAGACACGGCCCAGACUCCUACGGGAGGCAGCAGUGGGGAAUUUUGGACAAUGGGCGGAAGCCUGAUCCAGCAAUGCCGCGUGUGUGAAGAAGGCCUGAGGGUUGUAAAGCACUUUCAAUCGUGAAGAAAGUUGCAGGCUAACUCCGUG
This 441-nucleotide ribosomal RNA is filed under the name uncultured bacterium. RNAcentral's name for it is "bacterial SSU rRNA". It matches the Rfam family "Bacterial small subunit ribosomal RNA", at positions 30 to 469 of the family's 1533-position model. The record is from RNAcentral.